RNAcentral lists this ribosomal RNA (417 nucleotides) under uncultured Desulfovibrio sp. Its description in RNAcentral is "bacterial SSU rRNA". It matches the Rfam family "Bacterial small subunit ribosomal RNA", at positions 950 to 1382 of the family's 1533-position model. Lineage: Bacteria; Pseudomonadati; Thermodesulfobacteriota; Desulfovibrionia; Desulfovibrionales; Desulfovibrionaceae. The record is from RNAcentral.
UUCGAUGCAACGCAAGAACCUUACUAGGUUGACAUCCGAGACUCCGAAAGAAGGUGCCUCGGGAAUUCCGAGACGGUGCUGCAUGGCUGUCGUCAGCUCGUGCCGUGAGGUGUGGUUAAGUCCCGCAACGAGCGCAACCCUAUUGCCAGUUGCUACCAGGUAAUGCUGGGCACUCUGGUGAGACUGCCCCGGUUAACGGGGAGGAAGGUGGGGACGACGUCAAGUCAUCAUGGCCCUUACGCCUAGGGCUACACACGUACUACAAUGGCGCAUACAAAGGGCAGCGAUACCGCGAGGUGGAGCCAAUCCCAAAAAGUGCGUCCCAGUCCGGAUUGCAGUCUGCAACUCGACUGCAUGAAGUUGGAAUCGCUAGUAAUUCGAGAUCAGCAUGCUCGGGUGAAUGCGUUCCCGGGCCUU